Molecule: long non-coding RNA, 969 nt
Organism: Oncorhynchus keta (chum salmon)
Lineage: Eukaryota; Metazoa; Chordata; Actinopteri; Salmoniformes; Salmonidae
Exons: 5
Source: RefSeq, a predicted model, not a curated record
UUGUGAAGGGUUUUGAAUGGCUGGUCCAGGUUUGUGAGGGACAGAGGAGUUGUAUGUACAUAUAGUAAUACAGUAGAUUGAUACACGUUCAGGAGAGGAACGGGAAAGUAAACAGGAAGUGAAAGGUUCCCAGAGAGCAGUGGUUAAAGUGACCAGGAAGUGAAAGGUUCCCAGAGAGCAGUGGUUAAAGUUACCAGGAAGUGAAAGGUUCCCAGAGAGCAGUGGUUAAAGUGACCAGGAAGUGAAAGGUUCCCAGAGAGCAGUGGUUAAAGUGACCAGGAAGAGAAAGGUUCCCAGAGAGCAGUGGUUAAAGUGACCAGGAAGUGAAAGGUUCCCAGAGAGCAGUGGUUAAAGUGACCAGGAAGUGAAAGGUUCCCAGAGAGCAGUGGUUAAAGUGACCAGGAAGUGAAAGGUUCCCAGAGAGCAGUGGUUAAAGUGACCAGGAAGUGAAAGGUUCCCAGAGAGCAGUGGUUAAAGUGACCAGGAAGUGAAAGGUUCCCAGAGAGCAGUGGUUAAAGUUACCAGGAAGUGAAAGGUUCCCAGAGAGCAGUGGUUAAAGUUACCAGGAAGUGAAAGGUUCCCAGAGAGCAGUGGUUAAAGUGACCAGGAAGAGAAAGGUUCCCAGAGAGCAGUGGUUAAAGUGACCAGGAAGUGAAAGGUUCCCAGAGAGCAGUGGUUAAAGUGACCAGGAAGUGAAAGGUUCCCAGAGAGCAGUGGUUAAAGUGACCAGGAAGUGAAAGGUUCCCAGAGAGCAGUGGUUAAAGUGACCAGGAAGUGAAAGGUUCCCAGAGAGCAGUGGUUAAAGUGACCAGGAAGUGAAAGGUUCCCAGAGAGCAGUGGUUAAAGUGACCAGGAAGAGAAAGGUUCCCAGAGAGCAGUGGUUAAAGUGACCAGGAAGUGAAAGGUUCCCAGAGAGCAGUGGUUAAAGUGACCAGGAAGAGGUGAAUCAGAGAGACAUGAUGAAAUCCA